GAUUUCAUUUUUCCCAUUCUUUCUUUUUCUCUUUGUGGGGGGAGGGAGUGGGUGGGGUUUGUGAACCUUGCAGUGUUGGGCAUUGCCUCCCUCGCUGCUUGACAUUAUUUUCUCCUUCGAUACACGAUAAAGUGCACAAACACACUCGCAAUCCAUCUUUCUAGUUGGUUUCCAAGGAUAUAUGUUGACGAUUUGUGGGAAGUAUGGCUCCAGUUUUUUCGAGAUCUGCCUGGCAUCGUGCUUGGCAUCUUAUACAGAAAGGAAUGUUAGAGAUGAGACCAUGGAUUAGAUUCUGGUCGUUUCCGCAUGAAGGAGAAAGGGCUGCUUGAUCUUAAAGGGGAAAUCUGGUGGAUAGAUGUGGUGUUUGGACUUUAGUCUAAGCAUUGUUCUAUUUCUGGUUUGAUGCAUAGUACUAACUAGGUUGACGUCAAAUUUAAUUGGCACUAUCAGGUGGGCAUCACACUUCAAGCAUCUCAUCCACCUCUUUCAGAUAUUAUGGCCUUCGGCUUCAGGGAUUGCAGCAUUCAGGAAUUAAACUGUGUUAAAAAAAAAUUAGAGUUGGUGCCUGUUUAAUAUUUGAUUUGAGAAUAGCCUGCUAUGUGGGCAUUGUUUUGGGUGGUUUAGCCUGUCCUAGGUUUGUUUACGCAACAAUUAAGAGUUGGUAACAGAAGCAUUUUGCAAAUUGCUUCUGCUUUCUUUGUAAUUUGUAUAUUUUAACUGU
Pistacia vera is the source of this 721-nucleotide long non-coding RNA. RefSeq lists it as uncharacterized. Lineage: Eukaryota; Viridiplantae; Streptophyta; Magnoliopsida; Sapindales; Anacardiaceae. The record is from RefSeq and is a predicted model, not a curated record. The transcript has 4 exons.